Molecule: non-coding RNA, 1187 nt
Organism: Paralichthys olivaceus (Japanese flounder)
Lineage: Eukaryota; Metazoa; Chordata; Actinopteri; Pleuronectiformes; Paralichthyidae
Source: RefSeq, a predicted model, not a curated record
ACAAUUAAAGCAAAUGGAGCUUAUCUUAAAAUCAGUGAGUUGAGUUUAGUUGAAUUAAUUGAAUGAGCAUAUUUAAACCUCUCAUCAUUUAUAGAAAACUAAGGAACCAGGAUGAAUAUUGAACUGUGGUGUAAUUUCUUUUGCUUUUCCCUGUUUGUUAGUUGGUGCAUGAGUUUUUGUCUGUAAAUUCUCACCUUGAUUUAUUCCAUUACCUUUAAUUCAGUUAUUAUUAUUAGUUUUAGCCCCUGGUCGAUUUACAGAGUCUGAUCGUGGCUUUCUAAGAUUCACUGGGUGCUUUUGAAGGAUUUGUCUGCAUAAUGUGCCAUCACCUGAGGUUGAUGCUGUCAUUUUUGUUAUUGUCCUGCAGAGGAAGAAGGGGAACGAGCAGGAAUGGCACAGAAGGCUGAACAUGCUGACUGAACUGAUAAAUCCCACUGAGACCUGGACUGUUGUUUUACGCUCUUAAAGAUGCUGCUGUCUCUUUUCUGUGUGUGUUUCAAUGUAGACAUUUUUAGUUUCCACUGAAGGGCCAAGAAAUCCCAGCUAGUAAAUGAAGAAAGGGGGCGAGUGGAUCAUUUCACCCUCAGAUGAGACAGGAGGCAGAGGGCGGCCCUCGACAGCCAUUUGAAUGGGAUCUGAGAGCUGUUUGGAUUCAACUCAACUCCGAGAGCCAAACAUCUGUUCAUCACUGGAGUUAAAGCAGAUACUUGUCAGGAUGUUUGAUGUGACGGAACACGAGAGACAAUAAAUGUUUGGGACAUUUACUUUCAGAGGGAGAAGUGUCAUCUGCAUCCAGCCAGGAACAGAGCCAGCAAUGAUGAAGGAGUAUUCAGGUUUACUCCUAACUACUUAUAGUGGGGUGGGGCGUGACUCCAGGAAGAACCAAUUAAAUUUUGGAGCGGAUCCGGACAAAUGGACGGCUCCAGGAAGUUUUUCUCAUUUCCUUGAACGUGAUAAGGCGUCAGGCUAAGUGGAGGUAUGGUCUCUCUGAGCGUCUUCUAUUCUCAUUGUAAUGAUUAUAUGAACAUGUAUUAAAUUAUUAUGAUAUAUAUAGCUCAUGUAUAUGCAUGCUGUUUUCACAUUAUGCUUCAUUAUAUUCAUUAUUAAUGCAUUUGCAACCAUGCACGGUUAUUCAUUCCAAUUAUAAUGUAUUUUUACUCUCACCACUCAUGUAUGUAGUGGUUAGA